RNAcentral lists this ribosomal RNA (421 nucleotides) under uncultured bacterium. RNAcentral's name for it is "bacterial SSU rRNA". It matches the Rfam family "Bacterial small subunit ribosomal RNA", at positions 356 to 773 of the family's 1533-position model. The record is from RNAcentral.
GAGGAAUAUUGAUCAAUGGGCGGAAGCCUGAACCAGCCAUGCCGCGUGCGGGAAGGAGGCCCUAUGGGCUGUAAACCGCUUUUGCGCCGGAGCAAUAAGGGCGUCGAGCACGCCCGACGAGAGUACGGCGCGAAUAAGCAUCGGCUAACUCCGUGCCAGCAGCCGCGGUAAUACGGGGGAUGCGAGCGUUAUCCGGAUUUAUUGGGUUUAAAGGGUGCGUAGGCUGCGCUUCAAGUCAGGGGUGAAAUGCCGCCGCUCAACGGCGGAGCUGCCCUUGAUACUGGGGCGCUGGAGUACGGAUGCCGCCGGAGGAAUGAGUGGUGUAGCGGUGAAAUGCAUAGAUAUCACUCAGAACACCGAUUGCGAAGGCAUCUGGCGAAUCCGUCACUGACGCUGAGGCACGAAAGCGUGGGGAUAGAAC